RNAcentral lists this ribosomal RNA (485 nucleotides) under uncultured cyanobacterium. RNAcentral's name for it is "bacterial SSU rRNA". It matches the Rfam family "Bacterial small subunit ribosomal RNA", at positions 355 to 842 of the family's 1533-position model. Lineage: Bacteria; Bacillati; Cyanobacteriota. The record is from RNAcentral.
UGGGGAAUUUUCCGCAAUGGGCGAAAGCCUGACGGAGCAAGACCGCGUGGGGGAAGAAGGCUCUUGGGUUGUAAACCCCUUUUCUCUGGGAAGAAAGUUGUGAAAGCAACCUGACGGUACCAGAGGAAUCAGCAUCGGCUAACUCCGUGCCAGCAGCCGCGGUAAGACGGAGGAUGCAAGCGUUAUCCGGAAUGAUUGGGCGUAAAGCGUCCGCAGGUGGCAGUUCAAGUCUGCUGUCAAAGACCGGGGCUUAACUUCGGAAAGGCAGUGGAAACUGAACAGCUAGAGUAUGGUAGGGGCAGAGGGAAUUCCUGGUGUAGCGGUGAAAUGCGUAGAGAUCAGGAAGAACAUCGGUGGCGAAGGCGCUCUGCUGGACCAUAACUGACACUCAGGGACGAAAGCUAGGGGAGCGAAUGGGAUUAGAUACCCCAGUAGUCCUAGCCGUAAACGAUGGAUACUAGGUGUUGUCUGUAUCGACCCGGACA